Non-coding RNA from Ciona intestinalis (vase tunicate), 434 nucleotides. The record is from RefSeq and is a predicted model, not a curated record. NCBI's taxonomy places the organism in Eukaryota, Metazoa, Chordata, Ascidiacea, Phlebobranchia, Cionidae.
GGUUACGAAAUAUAUUAAUUUGUUUUCCCUUCAAUAUAAGAAGUCACGGUAAGUUCCAAAUGGCAAAUGCCACAAGAAAACAAAUGGAGAUUUUAAAGUAGAUGACAUGAAAGAACCGCGGCAAUAUAAUGCGAUUGUUUUUGCAAACGUUUUAAUUUUAAUUUUCAAUGGCCAAGGGGAUGAUUACCUGCAGACUGCAGUUGAACAGUCAACAGUGUUUUAAAAUUUUGAUUUAUAGAUCGUUUUACACAUUUGCUUGCUAAAUUGCCAUGACGCACUGUUGAUUACUCCUUUUUCCACACUAAGGAAUUGGAAAUCGACCCUCUCCCACAUUAAAAAAAAAAACUUUCAAAGAGAUUGUAUAACGUCUUUAUUGAAUGUUGCUUGCACCAAAGUUGUAGAAAUACAUUAAGAUGUAUGUUCUUGUAUUUUUA